GACGAACGCUGGCGGCGUGCUUAACACAUGCAAGUCGAACGGUCCUGUUUUUGAAGCGCUUCGGCGUGGAGGGAGCGGGUUAGUGGCGCACGGGGUGAGUAAUGCGCGAGGACCUGCCCGCGGGAGGGGGGACAGCAGUUGGAAACGGCUGGUGAUACCCCGUAAGCCGGGAGGUAAAAGGGCGGAGACGCCCGCCUGCGGAUGGACUCGCGUCCUAUCAGCUAGUUGGUGAGGCAACGGCUCACCAAGGCGACGACGGGUAGCCGGCCUGAGAGGGUGUCCGGCCACACUGGAACUGAGACACGGUCCAGACUCCUACGGGAGGCAGCAGUGGGGAAUUUUGGGCAAUGGGGGAGACCCUGACCCAGCGACGCCGCGUGAGGGACGAAGGCCCUUGGGUCGUAAACCUCUUUUGCAGGGGAAGAAGAAGAUGACGGUACCUUGCGAACAAGUCCCGGCUAACUACGUGCCAGCAGCCGCGUAAUCACGAGAGUA
Molecule: ribosomal RNA, 495 nt
Filed under: uncultured bacterium
Lineage: Bacteria
Description: bacterial SSU rRNA
Rfam family: Bacterial small subunit ribosomal RNA
Source: RNAcentral